UCCUGAGAUCUUAUCAGGAAGCUGCUGAUCACCAGCUUCAGGUGUUUCUAUUUAUUGGGAGACUGUCUUUCCCUGGCACCAGCUGCAACCAAUGAUUACUUUAGAGAGACAGUUUAACAACUGCCUGACCAUCACCUGAUGGUCAUCUGACAUUCCCAGGACUCCAGAUAAGAGCCCAGGCCAAAGGACACCUUGAUUUUGACCUUGUCAGACCUGGAGUUGAAAAACCAGCUGCACCCUUCUAGAAUUCUUACUUACAAAACUGGAGAUGUUACAAGACAAGAUGAUUUCACUGGAAGCUGAGUUUUGCCAGCUUUGGGGAAAUGCUGAUGCAGAACAUCAUUUAUUUAAGGCUGAUACUCAUGGAUAGAAGAGUCAAAGUGCGAAUAUAUGCACCCUUCUAUACGGAUUCUGCAGAAAGAUAUGCUUGGGUCAUGACUCAGCUAUUUACAAAGUUGCUGGUGACUAAUUGCUGGAAAGAAGCUGGGACGUUCUGUGGCCCCUCCAUUUUAUAUCCCCUCCCUUUGGUUCUCUAGGAAAUUGAGUUCAGGAAAGCUACCAGGAAUAAAACUCUUACUUUUUA
This 583-nucleotide long non-coding RNA is filed under the name Homo sapiens (human). RNAcentral describes it as "long independently transcribed non-coding RNA 2263 (LINC02263)". The record is from RNAcentral. Lineage: Eukaryota; Metazoa; Chordata; Mammalia; Primates; Hominidae.